RNAcentral lists this ribosomal RNA (395 nucleotides) under uncultured bacterium. Its description in RNAcentral is "partial 16S ribosomal RNA". It matches the Rfam family "Bacterial small subunit ribosomal RNA", at positions 523 to 918 of the family's 1533-position model. The record is from RNAcentral.
AUACGUAGGGUGCAAGCGUUAAUCGGAAUUACUGGGCGUAAAGCGUGCGCAGGCGGUUUUGUAAGACAGAGGGGAAAUCCCCGGGCUCAACCUGGGAACUGCCUUUGUGACUGCAAGGCUAGAGUACGGCAGAGGGGGAUGGAAUUCCCCGUGUAGCAGGGAAAUGCGUAGAUAUGCGGAGGAACACCGAUGGCGAAGGCAAUCCCCGGGGCCUGUACUGACGCUCAUGCGCGAAAGCGUGGGGAGCAAACAGGAUUAGAUACCCUGGUAGUCCACGCCCUAAACGAUGUCAACUGGUUGUUGGGUCUUCAUUGACUCAGUAACGAAGCUAACGCGUGAAGUUGACCGCCUGGGGAGUACGGCCGCAAGGUUGAAACUCAAAUGAAUUGACGGGG